UGGGGAAUAUUGCACAAUGGGCGAAGCCUGAUGCAGCGACGCCGCGUGAGCGAAGAAGUAUUUCGGUAUGUAAAGCUCUAUCAGCAGGGAAGAAAAUGACGGUACCUGACUAAGAAGCCCCGGCUAACUACGUGCC
RNAcentral lists this ribosomal RNA (136 nucleotides) under uncultured bacterium. RNAcentral describes it as "partial 16S ribosomal RNA". It matches the Rfam family "Bacterial small subunit ribosomal RNA", at positions 355 to 509 of the family's 1533-position model. The record is from RNAcentral.